CUUCCAGGGCCGUGGAGAGCUUCCAGGAAGCGCAGUGGCUCUGCUCCAGGUCAACAAGCAGCUGAGAGAUUGUUCAUGACCCAUGGCCAGGCAGCCCAAAGACCAGACACCAACAGAGUCUCUGAGUGUGUGUGCAUCAAGCUGUGCAAGGAAUACCAACAGGCAAGAAAUCGUCCAAAGGACUGCAAGGAUAAAACCUUGCCCAUACCACAGUCCAUUGUCCAAACAUACAGCCAUAUUAAACAGCUGCUUGAGGACAGCCAGGCAAUUCAGGGCCAGACCAACUUGGUACUAGUUACCAUCAACACCACCACUGUUUCUUCCUGGUUGCAUGAAAGGCAAAAAAGAGCCGGCAGGGACU
Cheilinus undulatus (humphead wrasse) is the source of this 361-nucleotide long non-coding RNA. RefSeq lists it as uncharacterized. The transcript is spliced from 3 exons. Lineage: Eukaryota; Metazoa; Chordata; Actinopteri; Labriformes; Labridae. The record is from RefSeq and is a predicted model, not a curated record.